GGUCCCAUAACUCAGUUGGUCAGAGUGUCGUACUAAUACUGUGAUUCGCUCAUAAUAUUGGUAAUGCGAAAGUCGUGAGUUCGAGCCUCACUGGGACCA
Non-coding RNA from Xylaria sp. FL0043, 99 nucleotides. The record is from the annotation of a GenBank genome assembly. NCBI's taxonomy places the organism in Eukaryota, Fungi, Ascomycota, Sordariomycetes, Xylariales, Xylariaceae.